This 399-nucleotide ribosomal RNA is filed under the name Clione limacina. Its description in RNAcentral is "SSU rRNA". It matches the Rfam family "Eukaryotic small subunit ribosomal RNA", at positions 567 to 957 of the family's 1831-position model. The record is from RNAcentral. Lineage: Eukaryota; Metazoa; Mollusca; Gastropoda; Pteropoda; Clionidae.
CCAGCAGCCGCGGUAAUUCCAGCUCCAAUAGCGUAUAUUAAAGUUGUUGCAGUUAAAAAGCUCGUAGUUGGAUCUCAGGUGCAGGCGGGCGGUCCGACUCGCGUCGGUUCACUGCCCGUAUCUCCUGCCCUACCGUUUGCCGGCUCUCUCCCGCGGGUGCUCUUCACUGAGCGUCCCGGGUGGCCGGUGCGUUUACUUUGAAAAAAUUAGAGUGUUCAAAGCAGGCCUCGGCAGCCUGAAUAAUGGUGCAUGGAAUAAUGGAAUAGGACCUCGGUUCUAUUUUGUUGGUUUUCGGAAUUGAGGUAAUGAUUAAUAGGGACAAACGGGGGCAUUCGUAUUGCGGCGUUAGAGGUGAAAUUCUUGGAUCGCCGCAAGACGGACUACCUGCGAAAGCAUUUG